AGCAGGUACAGGUAUCAAGAAGCAGCAUAAGAGACAUUAUAAACAAAAACAACGGAGAUAAAUGAAAACAAAAGAUAACAUGAACAACGCUGGUCUUAUUGUUCGCUAAAAGUACUAGGUGACUGCAGGUAGCCUGUCUAACUCACAAAACCUAUUCUUGAAAGAUCGAGCAGAAAUAGCAGUUCUCUUGAGCCUUAGUGGGGCACUACUACCAGAGCGUCGUAUCUGUCCCCCAAAAACGAAUGACCUGGUUAAAGUACAUACACUUUUGCUUCUAGUGAAAAGAAUAUAUUUCGCAAGUUGGAAGAUCCGUCUGUUAUCAAAAUUCACUCUAUGGUGAUCUCUGUAUACCAUGGCUAACGACGCAUAGGAAUAUACUGAGGCAAAUGUAUCUACAGCCGUUAUAAAUAACGCAUAGAUAUGUAUUGAAGCUGAGGGACUUGCAAGCCCUAUUAAUGAUGCUUAAGAAGAGAUUGCUGAACCUUCGAAACGACUGUAACGGUGAAUAGCAGUGCUCCCCUGUUUUUCCCCAUACACAGCUCACCUUUUAAGCUAGGUCAUGAGCAAAUUGAGCUGGGGAUUUGUAAUGCACUUGGUACACUCAACCUGCUGGACAAUAUUCUUGACAGAAAUUCGACUGUUGCAGUCUAUAAUGAGUUACUGCGUAUAAUCUCGACGAUAGAUUGCAGGCGACCAUGGGUAUCGACGAGAGCAUUAAAAUAGUAUCCAUUUCUGAAAAAAAAGUCUAGGGAUAAACAACAGCUACGACAAGUCGUAUAGUCCUAUAAUAAAGCAUUGCUUGUUUAGAUCAAUCUCUACACAGAGAAAUGCUAACUGCCGAACCUUCCGAAAUGCCGCCGUGUGAAGUAACAGUCCAACAUGACUCGUUAUGUGUCCGCACAUUGUCAACCUGUAGCUAAUGCAGAAUAAUUGCUUUCAUGUGUAGGAGAGAACCGACAGGCAGCCAAGUCUAUGGUGACGAAUGCUUCACUAUUUUCUCUUAGCUAGGAAAAGUGGUUAGUCGUGCACUGCCUGUUGAUUGUAAUGAAGGAAGUUGUAUGAUCGACGUGGUUAAAUGUUUUGAGCACUGGCGACUUUUUUAGUAAAAGGGUAUAUUGCAGAAGUGGUGAGGUAAAAUCUGACUAUGCGACUGUGGAAACUGAAAGCGUUUUUAUACCAUUAAUGCUGCAGGACUUUAGAAUGUCAUCUCUUACCGGUUGCUUGAGCAAUAAAAGAAAUGUGUCUACUGUUA
Molecule: long non-coding RNA, 1252 nt
Organism: Octopus bimaculoides (California two-spot octopus)
Lineage: Eukaryota; Metazoa; Mollusca; Cephalopoda; Octopoda; Octopodidae
Source: RefSeq, a predicted model, not a curated record